Molecule: long non-coding RNA, 16717 nt
Filed under: Ananas comosus (pineapple)
Lineage: Eukaryota; Viridiplantae; Streptophyta; Magnoliopsida; Poales; Bromeliaceae
Description: long non-coding RNA (ACOM_LNC021452)
Source: RNAcentral
UAUAUAUGUGUGUGUGUGUGUGUGUAUAUAUAUUCAUUCAUGAAUAUACUCUUAAAUCCUUUUUUAAAAAAGAAUUAUUUUUUAACUGGUGUCUAAGAUAUAUAUAUACACACACACACACACACCAGGUGAUACACUGAAAUUCAUGAUUUUUUUUGGUCUCUUCGAAGAAGAAGAAGAACUGAUUAUACUUAAUAAGAGAGCACAAUUUCACAAAUAUGUUUAUAUAAUAUUAUAGAGAACAUAUUAUUUUGAUUUUUUUUGGUCUUUUGUAUGUAAAAGACAUAGUGAUUUCUCUCUCUCUCUCUCUCUCUCUCUCUCUCUCUCUCUCUCUCUUUUUUGAUUUCUUUAAUUUUUGCCUGUUGAAGAAGAAGAAGAAGAAGAAGAGUAAAUAUUGAAAAAGUGGACACAAAGAUGUUAAAAAGCAAUAUUUAGAAACAGAUAAUAUAUCCAUUCACUAUGUUAUGUCCAAACACACACACACACACACACACACACACAUUAUAUAUAUAUAUUCAUGAUUAUUUGAAAGUCUCAGCUUAUACAAAACAACAACAACAACAACAACAUGCCCAUAUACAUAUACAUGCAGUGCAAUGCAACUCCAUAUAAUAAUAACAAUAUAUGUAGGAAUAUAUAUACAUAUAUAUACAUAUACAUAUGUAUAAAGGAAAAAACAAAAUAAAGUAAUUAAUAAAUUGUUAAACCUUAGGGAAGAGAUUAGGAACAAGAGAUUGUAAGAUGGUGUAGAACUCAGUCAUCUUCUCCCUCCUAUUUCUCUCCAUGUGGAUCACAUCACUCUUCAUGCUGUUACGAUUACUCCGCGUCGACGUCGACGCCGACGCCGACGCCGAUUUCAAGCUCUUGAUCCUCCUCAUGGCCACUGCUAUUGUAUAAUGAGUUAUGUAUAUAUUUAUCUCUCUCUCUCUCUCUAUAUAUAUAUAUAUAGUUCCUUCUUUAUAAACACUAAUCCAAAUUACUUAUGUAAAUAUGUGUGGAGUCCCUUCAAGUAUGACCUAGUUAGAAAAGGGUCCUUACAUAUUUUUUUUUAGUGGGUAAAUUGCACUACUAGCUUGCUUCUGGACUCUGGAGUUUAAGUCCAGAUUAUAUUUUGGUCCUCAAAAUUUUGAUUUUGACGCUCAGGUCCUUGAACUUAUAAUAAUGUUUCAUUUUAGUUCCUGAACUUUAACUAAAGUGGCAUUUUUAGUUUUUUUUUACUUUAGAGUUAAAAUUAUUAUCUGCGCUGGCCUGAUUCAAUUCAUGGUCGUUUAUCGAUCCUUCAUCCAAAUUUAUACUUCGAAUUUAACGGUCCAAUUUCUAAAUAACUAAACAUACAUAUAUGAUUGUUUCUAAUGGAUAGUUGCUUCCAACAGUAAAUAUUUAAUUGAUUUAACAUCAAAAUUAGAAGUUUGAGGAUCAAAAUGAAAUUUAGCUAUAAGUUUGGGGAGUCAUGGUACAAUUUAUUUGUCCUUUUCUUUUAUUAAGACCCCCUCAAUUAGUUGAGUUAUUUAAGUCAAUUACUUAAUUUGAAAUUUUGUUAAUUUAAUCAACUUAUACGUUCAAAGAAACUUAGGUUUUAAUGAAUAAUUAACAUUAAGCAUAUAUACCACUAAAAGCAAUUAAGCACAUACUAACUCAAAUCAAAAUAAAUAAUUAAAAUUGUGUAGCAAUAUAAAAAAAAAUUGCGGGGAUCUAUUUUUAAACAUAAUUUAGUUGAGGGUGCCCCCUGUACUUUUUUAAAAUCCCUCCUCAACUUUCAGAUUUUCAGAUUUUAAUAGUUUUAGUCCAAUAGAUUAAAAAAUAUAUCAAAUUUACCAACAAUUUUAUCAAAUUCACUACUUCUACUCACUUUCUAGCAAAUAAACUGCAAUAAUUAAUUAAUUAAUGGCUAUUAUUAAUAGAACCACCAUAUUUAGAAAAAUUUGAACUAAAAGUUGAAGAGGUCAUUUCAAAAUGGUCUAUUGUUGAGGGAGUUUUCCAUAAAUUUUUUUCCCUAAAAAGCUACUAAAAGGGUAUGAUUAGUUGUGUGCUGUGUUCAGAGUUAGGGAUGUUAAUGGGUCGGAUUCGGGACAGAUUUUGAAAAACCCGAAUCCGAAACCUAACUACCAAACCCGAAACCGAAAUCCAGAUCCGAAUUCAAUGGAUUUUAAAAAUCCAUAUUAAAGCCCAAACCCGACCAAAAAUUCAAAACCCGAAGCCGAGCCCGAACAUGAAAUAAUUAUUUCUUUUUACGAUAUUUCAAAAUACGUCAUAUUAAAUCUAAAUUUUUUAAAUACAAAUUCAAAUACAACAUCAAAUAUUUAUAUAUAUUAUAUAUAAUAUAAAAUAAUUUCGAAUUCUGGUCAGGUUUGGGUUCGGAUCAGAUACAAUAAAAAAUCAUAUCCGAAUUCAAAUCCGUUGAGUUUUCAUUUUUGAUAUUCAUAUCCGAAACUAUUAGCAUCGGAUAAAUUCACUUUGUUCGGGUUCGGGUUCGGAUUCGGAUAAUAUUUCAGGUAUAUAUCCUUAUCCAUUGAUUAAUGAAACCACCAAAUUUAGCAAAAAAUUGAACUAAAAGUUGGUAAGAGACCAUUUCAAAAUUGUCUAUUGUUGAGGGGGGCUUUCCAUAAUUUUUUUCCCUAAAAAGCUAUUAAAAGGGUAUGAUUAGUUGUGUGUUGUGUUGUGGUCAGAGGAAGUGUGGGGGCAUUUUAGGAAACCUGGCACUGUGGUGGGAUUGCUCUCUGAAAUAAGAUUUUUUUUUUUUUUGGUUUCAGAAAAAAAUUUAUUAAAAAGGUCAGUGGAAUGUGCAGUUCCUGGGAGGGCUCAUCAUUAGUUCUGUUUUAGAUUCUUGCUUUUGUUAUUAUUAUUAUUUCUUUUCAUUGUUUCUCUUUUAAUUCUAUAUAAUAAUAAUAAUAUGUAAGGAUUAAGUAGCAAAGCAUGUGUUUUCUUUUGAUAAGAGGCUACUAACCCUUGAUUUUCUUUUAGGGCAUGUUUUUGUUGGAUCGUUGUGUUGACGCUAACCAUUAAUCUCAAUAGCUCGAGCCGUUAGUAAUAAGAUGCAACUAAUUCACUUAAAAUCGUACGGACAAUGUUUACGGUUCUUAAUUGUGACUUAACCCAAACAGCCUCUCGCCGCUUCAAAUAUGAUUCGAUUCGAUCUGCCGUCUCGUCAUUUUAAAUGUGACUCGGUCCAACUCAGCUUCCCGCCAUAUGGUAGAAUGCUGCACCUUUAAGCCCGCAUGCUUGGUCAAGAGGUCAGAGUUGACUUUUGAUGGUAAAAGUCAAAUGAGCACAUCAUAAAAUGUGGUGUGCAUUUUAGUUGGAACAUUUUCAAAAGCUUGUGGGAAUAUGGAGGUGUAGGGUUUUGUAGUUUCUUGGGCUUGAUUCAACCCACAAAUGAAGCCCUAAAUUUGUGGGCUAGUGGGAGGUCGAGAGCUUGAGUUGGUAAAUGGGUGGGCCAGGUCAGGUCGGGUCGGAUCUUGACCCGGUAAAAUACCAAUUCGGUUCAACCCGUAAAACCGGACUAGUUUAAAAUCCGCUUUGAUCUGUUCAUAUCAGUGGUUUAAUCAGUGAACUAACAAACCGACACGGUCUUACAAAAACCGGACGGAUUUUUUUUUUUCAAUUUUAUAUUUUAAUAAUUAAUGAAAAAUACGCAUUAGUUUUUUUAAUAAUCUACACUUUGAAUAUAUAUUUUUAAUUAUAUAUAAUAUAAUAAUAUAAAAAACAAUAUAGAAUAUUAUAUUUGAUAUAUCUAUUUUAUUAUAUAUAGUAUGAAAACUUAAUAAUUAAAUAUUUAUGACGUCAUACUAACGUCAUUCAAACCGGUGGUUGAACCAGUAACUUAUGACUCGGCAAUAUUUUCAAGUCGUAAACAGUUAUGGGUUUUAACAUAUUGGUUUGGGUUGGAUCAUUUUAAGUUUGGGACCAUUUGGGGUCUCAAAACUUUUCGGUUGUUUCGCGUCUGUUCGCAAGUCAGAUCGUUUUCGGCUUCCAAAAGUUAGAUUUGUGCUUGACUCUUCAUUUAAUAAAUUUUCUGAUCACUAACUUCUUAUUUACUUCGAAAAGUGAACCAGCGAACCAGCGUAGCCUAAAUUAACCACCUGGGUAGCUUGUGUUUGACUUUAUAUUUAGCUUAGGGCUAAUAAUUAUUAGGGUAAGUCUUAUAUGUUUGGUCCUCAUACUACGAGUUAGUUAACACUUUAGUUCUCAAAUUUUAAUUUGUUGUUAUAUCUGAUUCAAACUUUUAGAAUUGUUCCAAUCAAAUCUUACAAUCUAAUUUGUUGACGGUCGUGCAUUUAUUAGUAAGGUUGAAAAAAAAUAAAAAAUAAUCUUUAUAUGUGGGGUUUUUGGGGAGCCUCUAAGCUUACUCUCUCUCUCUCUCUCUCACACACACAAAAGAAGAUCAAUCAACCUCUCUCUCUCUCUCUCUCUCUCUCUCACACACACACACACACACAAAAGAAGAUUAAUCAAUCUAACUUUGGCCUUUAAAUGAUGUUUGUGUUCUCAUACAAUCUUAACCUUUUUCAAAUGAACUUGCAUUGAAUUGUUCCUUAACUCUUGUACUUUGAACUCCAUUCUAGGGAAAAGGAAGAGAAAAAGUAAGUACUAAAGUCUACUUAAUUUAGAUAGUCAUUUUAAUUGACAUUAGGGAUUUUGAUGGUUAAGAAUUCUUGAGAUUUAUUCGAAUCCGAAUCUGAAUGGUAUUGAUUCACUUCAGCUAAUACUAAACAUGCAUAAUUUCAUUUAUGUAAGUUUAAAGAACAAAAACCGUACGGGUUCACUUUUGGCUACGGUUCUGUUUAUAUCCGAACCAAACCCGAAACCAACCCGUAUUAAAAGAAGGCGCCCCCUUCCGACUGCACUCCCAAUGGUAGAGGGGUGUUUUAUCGACCAGGGAGGUGUUUAAGUGCGGUGUGUCCUAUUCAAUUGGGAAUGGACAAACCGUUAAUUUUUAGACGGAUAUCUGAAACGACCAAGCUUCCAUACAAACCUUGUUCCCUAGUGUCUACAAUAAUGUUGCGAACAAGAACCUUAAAGUGCUAGACUGUUAGGGAAGGAACGGAUGGAAGUGGAGUAAGAUCUUGUCGGGGUUCUCGCCUUCUUCCCGACAGGACAGAAACCUAAUUCUGAAGCUGAAGGAGUCGAUCUCCAUGAGCCCAUUGCCUGACGAAAAGGACAAGGUUCGGUGGAGAUGGGAAAAGUCUGAUAAGUUCUCCGUCAAAUCGCUUUAUAACUUUUUAUAGGACGGAGGAGUUAAUGACAGGAGCUUUCACCAUUAUGGAAGAUUAAAUCCCCUCUAAACGUUAAGAUCUUCGUAUAGCUAAUCCUGAAAAGGAAGGUGCUCGUUGUGGACAACCUCUUGAAAAGAGGUUGGAUCGGUGCGUCUUCUGUGCGGCAACAAUGGAGACAGCGGAUCACCUUUUCGUAAAAUGCCCUACCACCAAAGACCUAUUGGAGAUUUUGAUGCCAAACAAACGGUCCCUUUUUUUUUUGUUCGUCUAUCAACCAGCUGUGGGAUGACUACAAACUUAAAGGUGGUUCGAUAGGAAUGAGAGAGUUAGCUAUGGUCGUCACCACUUGGUGGGUGAUCUUGCUAGACCGUAACUGUCGUAUAGUUGAGAAAUCCAAAAUCCACCGGGUACCUCUUUGACCAAGAUUCUCUCCCUCAGGGAGUUCUGGGACAGCUUCUGCAUCAGCUAAUGCCGGGAAUCCUACCGACCUAGAAUCUUUUUUUUUUUUUCCUCGAGGCCUUACUGCCUCAGUUUGUAGCCGAGUUUAUAUCCUAAAUGAAUGGAGCGGUAGUUGUCACGCCCCAGGGCCAAUUUUAUAAGCCUUUUUGUAACGAAUACAGAAUUUAGAAACAAGAGUUGCGAAAAAUGUGCCAUUUUUUUUCUUUUUUUUUUUGAAUUCAACCUGGCCCACGUGACGUACAGACCAACCACAAAUACAAAGUUUCUCUGUCCACUCGGACAGAGUCUGUCCACAUCAGGAUCACAGCCACAGUCUAUAUUUACCAAUCCGUAAAUAAUUCAUGCGAUGCAUUUUCAUACAGCUAGCGAUCCUUAGAGAUGAUGCAUGCCUCUAAACACUCCUUAGAUGCUGGAUGAUGCGAUGCACAGUACAACAGUCAUUCUAUUUAAAAGUGCUCCCCAUUCGGAAGUUUUGAUUUUAAACUCUAUUUAAUCAUUCAUAAAAACCAUUUGAAAAUCUUUUUAAAACUGUUUUCCAUUCAGAAACUUUACUUUUGAAAACUGACUACUUUGAGGGGUAGAAAACCACAAUGCGUAAAUACAUAAGUCCGAGGACCAAUUAUCCAUAAAACCAAAACCACAAUUCUAAAAUCUCCAAUCGCACGCAUAAUAGAAAAUCACCAAGUCAACCAGUUCACAAAUACUCAAACAGUAGUAUUGAUCAUCUAAUUGAACCAUUUAAUUAUAUAAAUUACUAAUGCGGAAAUAAAACAUAACCAGGGUUACGGCCACUACUGUAGCCUAGCUAGGACGUCCAACCGUCGCAUCAAGAAUCAACUCCUCGGCCGAGUCACCUGGGGAAAUGGGGGGUGAGAAACCACAAUCAAGAUUUUUUCAGUGGGUAUGACAGAACCACGAAGGCAAAUCGUAUUCACUAGAAAACAAAGAAAAUGGAACAACAGAUAUAUGUGUGAUAUAAGAAAAACUACAGUAGUAAUAGAAGCAGAAUAGUAAAUAAGCAAGAACCGAACUAAUACUGUAACAAAAACUCGAUUGAACAGAUGCCUCAAGGGUAUAUAGUCCAAAUCAAACCCAAUCUGGUGCCUGUUAUAUUGGUCCGUAGACCUCAAGCGUUGUCUAUCACAGAGCAUACACUUACAUUGAUUCAUGCGUCCACCGACGACCUAUCCGGAUAAAUACACCCCCCGGUUGGUGGCCAAACCAACCGGUGUCUAGAAUAUACAGUGCUGUGACUAAAUCAUGCUAAUAUGCUCAAUACGAAAACUGGCAAGAAGACCAGUGCUUUGGCCGAAGCCAGAUGCAAGGGCGUACAAUGCCGAACCACGAUCAAUUAGAUCGAACACACGACAAAGGAGUUGAUGUGUUGCCUGGAUCCAAGGUCCACAGAUAUACAACAUAUGUAAGCCUGCUCUACAUGUCUAUCAAUAACUUAUCAUCAUGUAAGCAAUAAGAUAUAGAUGAACGAACGAUAAACAAAGGUAACCGACAUGUAGAGACUACGAUGCUGAUAUAGAAGAACAGAGAAAAGCGAAACGAUCUCACCGACUACCAGCUCGAAGCACCCAUCUGUCACUAUCGCGUCGGAAACCUGGGUAUGCAACAGGCCAACCGGACCUACGAAGAUCCACCGGAUUAGUACCCAACCCACAAACCCAAAAUACAUUACUCACAAACCCCAUACCAAUCCCCGAAAUCGGUUUUCUUAAACUAAUUACCGUAACUCACCGGAAGUCCCGAAAAUCACACCGGACGCCGUCGGGACUUACUAUGUGUCCCGAAACUCACCGACUCAUGCCACGAGUCACCCACUGCCACAAAACACACCAAUUUGGAUGUCUUGGCAGCAAACACAAGAUUACACAACUAAACAAUUAUCGUUGGAUAAUUGUUCGGAUCCAAGUUCCCGGAAGUGUCCAUUUCGACACCAGAACCCACCGUCGCUCAUCCGUCAUCUCCAAACCCAUGAUAAGACGAUGGUGACCAGCCGACAAGGCUCAGCGACAACUCUCAGGGCAAACAAACACCGUUGGAUGAAAUCUGAACUGAAACCGUGUUCCGCCAGCGAAUUUCGCCGAAGUACGCACCGAAAUCGACCUAAACUCGCGCGCGAGGACGACAGGAAUCGACCGGGACGGUCGUCGGGGCUUCGGGGGAGGGCGGCUCGGCCGUCCCUAGGUGGUGGCGGCGCGACUUAUGGGAGCUAAAGCUCGCUCGGCCCGAGUUGGCCCAGUCCGACCGCAAGCUGCCUGGGCGGCAGCGGCGGCUCGCAGGGGCUGCGGCGACUGGCGGGGGAGGUCGCCGUUGCUCCAGGGGAGGCGCUGGUGAGGGGCCGGAGGGGGAAGGACACCUCACUUGCUCUCGGCAGGGAUGGGAAGCCGAGUGCAUGCAAUGUGAGGGAGAGGGAGAGAAAGAAAGCCUUCUCCGACGGUCGGCGGCGUGCGCAGGCAGCGUGGGCAGGCGGCUGGGGCGCGCGCGGCUGUGACACCCCAAUAGUCCCACAUCGGAUGGGAAAGGGGUUGUCAUUGGGUUUAUAAGAGACUUAGACACUAGUAAUAAUAACUGGGCUUAAGCAUUUUGGGCCGGUUGUUGGGCCCAACGAGUUAUUGUUGCUAGUGGCUGGGUCGUUACAGCGGCGCACUCAGGGAAGGGAGCAGAAGCGGCUGGGAGUCAGCUGGGGGCUAGGGUUAGGGUUUCCCUGGAGCAAAACCCUAGAAGACUAUAUAUACAUAAGGUAAAAAUGCACAAUAGUCCCCGAAAAACCCCAUGUUUAGAACCGAGUCCCUUACGGCGUGAGUAAAACGCACGAAUACUCCUCCAUGCCCGAUCUCUCGCGAAACGGUACAUAAAAUGUCGAGCUUUUUGCAAAAUUACCGUUUUGCCAUUAAUGACCCCUCCUCGAUUAACGCACGAUAUCCGGAGAUCCGUCUGUCAGAUUUGUGAACGGAUCACACCAGUACGAUCAGCAUGAUAGAGAUAACAAACUCACAAUUUUGUUUCGCCUCGUUUGGUUACGGAUUCGCGACAAAACCCAUCAUCUCUCGAAAUGGCGAAAUUACACACAAAUACAUAUAUAAUAUAUGUAUUUCCAUAUUUCUCAAAAUCCAUGCAUCAAACCUAAAAUCCAUCGGCGUCAAUGAUUCCAGAAUAGCCAAAUCAUUAAAAACGAGCUAUUGGAUCGUUAUGAACGAAGUCCGAUACGUGCUAGAAGCCAUCUUUACACUUUGGCCUCUCCGGAAACUCAGGUUACUAUUCACUUUAAGUAAAAAGUAAAGAUCGCGUAAAAACUCUAUUCUAACUCAUUUUGCCCCGAAACUUGAUGAGUACUUUUGUAAUUAAAUUACACACAAAAACAUCGUCAACGGAGAGUUUAGCUACACUGCCAAAAUCUCAGUCCUUACAGUAGCAUGCUACUUUUUCUAAAAAAAAAACUUAUAUUAUAUGCACAUAAUAUAAUUUCUUAGAUAUUUAUUUUGAUAAUUUAGUUUAAUAUUUAGUAAAUUAAAUAAUCGGGCUCGAUUUUAUAAUUUCAUAUAUGGGUUUCAGUAUUUUAUUCUGGUACGGUUUCAUAUUUGAAUUUUUAUUCUAGAUCGGAUUCGAGUAUGAUUUCAAAUUUCGUUUUUUUAUUCGUGCCUGGUUUUGGAUUUUGUAACAUAUAUGUAGGAGAAAAUCUAUCUGUGUAACACUCACACCAUAUCAUCUAUGUCUAAUCAAUCAUAUCUCUUCUUUUGAGAGAAUAGUACAAUAAAAAUAUUUUUUUUAAAAAACCAUGAUAAGAUGACUGAACCCUAAGGAAACUUUUUGAUUGGUUGGGAUCACUACAUAAGCAAUAUAAGUGUUGCAUUAUAAAAUUUUCCCGAAUGGAAGGACCUAGGUGGCUACAUAUAUGUAUGAAAAACUCUAGAAUAUAAUACUUAUAUUGCUGAUGUGCAGACCGCACCAAUCAAAAAGCUUUCUUGGGGUUCACCCAUCCUAUCAUGACUUUUGGAAAAUUAUUUUUAUUGUAUUUUUUUUCUUGAAAAAAUAUAUUAUUAAUUGGGAACAGAUGACGUGGUACAAGUAUUAUACAAUAGAGUUUCUCCUGUAUUUGGCCUUGUACUUUUCUCUCUAGGAUCUUCCAAUAAUUGUGGAAGAAGCCAAAUAGUUGGAAACAUUGUGACAUAACCUGCCUUGUACGAAACCAUCAAACUUAUUUAUUUUUUUCUCCUAUGAUUAGUCAAACAUUUCACACAUCCUUGAAAACUUUUUUCAUGGAUAAUGCUAUGCCUAGGACACUUUUAUCUCUCUAUCAUGAAAAUUUAAGAUUUGAUUGGUGAAAGCGAUACAUGAAAAACGGGACGGAUCCUUGGAGGGAGUAUCUCACCUUUCGCUUUAUUUUUUAUCUGAUUAUAAUAGAUUUGGAGCGAGUUAAUCUUAAUAUUAUUUUUGGCCCUUAUUAUUUUAUUUGGAACAGAUCGCACUGAGACAAAUUUUUGUCGAACAUUUGGUGACGUGAAUCGAAGUGGAUUAAAGGACGAAAGAGGUCUCCCGUCUUCCACUUCAUUUACUUGACAGAUCAAGACAGAUUCGAGGUGAGUUAUAUUUUUUUUAUAUAUAUUUUUGGUUUCGGGACGAGAAUUCUUCAACCUGACUCUAUUUGUGUUUCUAGUUAGAACUAUGGACUACUUGGAUUUGACUAUUCAAUAUUUUAAAAUUUUGAUUUUACUAUUUAACUUUCCAAUUUAUUUGAUUUGAGUCUAUGAACGACACUCUGACUAUAAAAUUUAAGCUAAUUAUUUAUUUUAAUGAACUUAUAACUGUGAGAAUUGUACGAAAUUUAUAACUAUAUAUUUUUGUGAAGAUAAAUAAUAAAUUCAAAUUUUGAAGUCAAAGUGUAAAUCAAAUAAAUUAAAAGGUUAAGUAACCAAAUCCAAAGCGUCCAUAAUUUUAGUAAGUUUCAUACAUUUUUAUCCAAAAAAAAUGUUAUUAUAAGAAUGAUUUUUUGACUACGCUUUGAAAAUGCGUCCUCAAGUGUCCACACUAUAUAUAGAGCAACUAUAACGCUUCAAAAAAUAUCAUUGUACAAAGCAAGAUAUCUUCACCGUUCCCUACUGUUGCAAAUCAAUUUAUUGAAAGAUUAAUUGUACUAUUAUUUUAAAUUUUUCGAUGCUUUGAAGCGUCAGAAUUUUUUAUUUUUCUCUACUUUAAAGUGUCAGAAUAUAUUUUAGUGAUGAAUGACAUAAACAUCGGUAUGUAUGUGGCAACUCUUUAUUUGCCGACGCUGUCCGUGAUCUUUUUUGUGUGACGAUAAACUAGUUUAAAAUGCAUUUAUACACCGUUACUUACUGAAAAAUACAUUCUUAAAUGUUGUUUUUCUUGUAGUGUCUAAGGCUUAGUUUAUGAUUGUAUUGUCAAAUGUAUAUCUCCUUUUAUGUUUUAAAUUUAAUUAUUAUAAGGCCUAAUUUGAAACUAGGUUGCCAAAUAUAUUUGUUUUUUAAUACUUUAUAUGCCAUUAUGAGUUGCUAAAAGAAUGCAUUACAUGUAGCAAGAAUGUAUGAAGAAGUCUGUAUUUUUGGCAAGUUAUAUCACCAUAAUUUUUAUGUUCUGAAUUGCUAAAAAAAUGCAUUAUAUGCAGUAAAAAAAAAAAAGAAAAACUUCAAAUACCGGUCUUGUGGUUUUUUUUUUUUCACUUUAGUACCAUGUGGUUUAAAGUAUAUCAAGUUAGUACUCUGUGGUUUCUCACUUUACACUUUAGUAUCCUGUGGUUUAAAGUGUAUCAAGUUAGUACCCUGUGAUUUCGCACUUUAUCACUUUAGUACCCUGUGAUUUUGCACUUUAUCAUUUUAGUACCCUGUGGUUUAAAAAUCAUAGGGUACUAACUUGAUACAAAAUAAAAUCACAGAAUACUAAGUUGAUACAAAAAUAAAAUCACAGAGUACUAACUUAAUACACUUUAAACCAUAGGGUACUAAAGUGAUAAAGUGAGAAACCAUAGGGUACUAACUUGAUACACUUUAAACCACAAGGUACUAAAAUGAAAAGUGCAAAACCACUGGGGUGAUUUUUGAAGAUUUUCCAAAAAAUAUGAAGAGAAUUUAUUUUUUAUAAUUUUAACAAGCAACAUCACUGCGAUAUUUAUGAUUAGACUAUAAAAUAGAAAAUAUAUAUAUCAUUAUAUUCUUCAUUAAUACAACUACUUUUGGCCUAAUUAUAGCCCCUAGGUAGCUAGCUUUUAAUGCCACAGUGACGUUCAACGGUCCCCAUUUUUUUAAAAAAUAUAUAUACCAUUCUAAUUCUUAUUUAAUUUGUUUUUCCUAUAAUGUCAUUUAUAUUGACAAUGGCCUAUUUAACAAAAUAUAGGAUUAAAUACAUUCAGAUCUCUACAAAUAUAAUAAAUUAUAAAUAUAUUUUUAUAAAGUUCAGCUUUCAUAUAUUGUUCCUAUAAAAGUUCUAAUAUUUUUAAAUAUAUCUUUCUAGUUUAUUACCGUUAUAGAUUAUUUAUGUUUUAACAAUAAAUAAGGGAAAUGUUAAUUUUGUCUUCAUAAAUAUAUUUCUUUAAAAGUCAUAAAAGUAUAAUAUAAGAGGGGUAAAAAUAUAUGAAAGUUGAACUUUGUAGAGAUAUAUUUGCAAUUUACUAUAUUUGUAGAGACCUGCAUGCAAUUAAUCCUAAAAUAUAAUUACAUGAUAGAUAAAGAAAGGCCAAUUUGCAUAAAAAAUCUAGUAAUUNUUUUUUUUUUUUUUUUUUUUUUUCUCUUGUUCUUUUUUUCUUUCUCUUCCCAGAGAGCGGCAAAGGCGGAAACGCCACCCCCCCUGCCCCGGCGAUGUUGCCCUCGCUCGCUUUGGCGACGUUGCCGGCGACGAGCCCGGCUUCCCCGCCUCGACCUCUCCCCCGACCCCUCCUACCGCGCUCUCGCCCAGGCCUUCUGCCGCCACGGCCAGGCCCGCUCCGCCGCCUCCCUGCUCGACGACAUGCUCCACCGGGGUCUCCUUCUUCCUUCUCCUUCUCCGUUGGCGCGCCAACGCGAGACGACAACGGAGGGAUUCGGACUCGGCCCGGAGCCAGUCAGAGUGGCGGGGGAGGAACGUGGAGAGGUGGGCGGCACCGCCGAGCCACUCGGCGAGCUCACGGUUCUCAGCGCGGAGGCGCGCGAGGCGGCUCCAGAGCUCCUCGAGGUGGAAGAAGGAGGAAAAAAAAAAGAAGAAGAAUAAACCGAGGGGAAGAAGGAUGAAGAAAAAAAAAGAGAAUAAACUGAGGGAAAGAAGAAGAAAGAAGAAGAGAAUAAAAAAUAGUGUAAAUUUCACUCAAAUAGUACAACGUUUGUCUAAAAAGUGUAAUUUUUGUCAUCCCAAAUGGUGUAAAUUUUACCUAAAUAGUGCAACGUUCGCCUAAAGAGUGCAACUCUCGUCCCAAAGAGUGUAAUUCUAUCUCAAAUAGUGUAAAUUUUAUAUAAAACAGUGCAAUUUUUUUUAAAAUUGCACUCUUUGAGACAGAACUGUAUUGUUUGGGUGAAAUUUACACCAUUUCUCUUUUUUUUUUGUUCUUCCUCCUCUUUCUCCUCCUUCUCCUUCAAUGCUCGCCAUGUACAAGAACCCCAACCAUGGCUCGUCCCAUCCCAGCACCCCUGUCGCAGCAUCACUCCCUGUGAUGCCCCAACUUCCCAGGGGGUUACCCAUCCUAGGACUACUCCCGUCCUAGCACGCUUAACUCUCUUAACCUCUUGGGCCUUGCCACCACCCAAAAUGCUUAAGCCGGGUUAAGAGUUUAGCCAUAUUAUAUCUCACAUAUAGGACUCUCUGGGGUCUCACACUCCCUCACCCACAAGGGCCUCAAAAUCCGUGCUUACUACAGAGCGGCCAUGGGAAACGGUGGAGGAAAAAUGGCGCUCGCCGUGGUGCUCUUCAUGUUGGGGAGCGUCGAGGUGAGCGUGCCGGCAAGGGCGACGCCGGAGAAGGAGGAGGGGGCUGGCGGUGGGUUUGGCCAUGCCGUGGGUGGUGAUAUUGGUGGCGGGAUUGGGUCGGCGGGGAGGCCGCGGUGGAGCAUGUCGUCGAGCAAGGAAGCGAUGGAGCGGGCCUGGGCGAGGGCGCGGUAGGAGGAGGGGUCGGGGGAAAGGCCGAGGCGAGGGAGGNCGUGGUGGAGCAUGUCGUCGAGCAAGGAAGCGAUGGAGCGGGCCUGGGCGAGGGCGCGGUAGGAGGAGGGGUCGGGGGAAAGGCCGAGGCGAGGGAGGCAGGCUCGUCGCUGGCGACGUCGCCGGGGUCGGGGGGUGGCGUUUCCGCCUCCGCCGCUCUCUGGGAAGAGCAAGAAAAAAGAACGAGAGAAAAAAAAGAGGAAGGAGAAAAAUGUACAAGGGUAUUUUAGUUAGUUUGCUGAAAAAUCGGACCGAAUCUGCAAAAACGAAAAAGAUAGCCCACUUAUGCAAAAGCCCAAAAUUAGUGGAUUUUUAUGCAAAUUAGCCAUAAAUAAAAUUCUUUAUCCCCGAUUUAUUUAUUUAUUUAUUUUUCCUCAAAUGAUGGUUUUGUUUUACUAUAUUUGUAGGGACCUGCAUGCAAUUAAUCCCCAAACACAAUCUCCUUAAAUCAUUUCGAGCCGAACAUAAUCUCCCUAAAAUCUGUACGGAUCAGUAGUAAAUUUUUUCGAACCCAGAAAAUUUGAUUUGGUUUGAGAAUCGCCAAAAAAUCAAAUCCAACACAACCGAUUACACCCCUACUGAGAUGAGCCACCACUUAUUAGGGCGGUCAACGAGCUGAACAAGAGCGAGCUCGUUAAAAUAUUGAGUUGAUAAAUCCAGCUCGUGUUCGACUUAUUUAUUAACGAGUCGAACAUGAGAUCGCUCGCGAACAGCAAGUUAGAUUGUCAGCCUUACUGCUGGGGUAAAAAGUUGAAAGAAAAUUAGAAAAUUAGAAUCUUAAUCUAAUGAUUAAUUUACAAAAUAUCAGUCUCUUUACAUUUAGAAUGGCCUAAAAUUCAAAUAUUACUAAUUUCUAAGAUAUAUAUAUAUAUAUAUAUAUAUAUAUAUACCCAAUUAUAUAUAUUAUAUAUAGAGAGAGAGAGGAGAGAGUAGAGAGAGAGAGAGAGAGAAAGAAGAGAGAGAGAGUCCGGCUACUAGUAGCAAGCGCUUGUACUAUUGAAUUUUCUACCGUUAGAUCUACCCUUUGAUCAUUUUCAUCCAUUAGAUUAUAUUAUUAAACCAACCACCCACUCAACCUAGAGAACCAAUAUCAAUUUAACUGGGGACCACUAUCAUCUUAACCGCACAUCCUUUUCAUCAACGGCCGCAAAACUCAAGUACCAAGGGCUUGGUACUAUUGAUAGUAUAGUAGCAUAAUUAUAUAAUAAUAAUAUAUAUAUAUAAUAUAUAUAUAUAUAUAUAUAUAUAUAUAUAUAUAUAUAUAUAUAAAACUAGCGUGGAAUACUAUCAAUUGCACCAAACUAUUGGUGCUAUUAGUUUUGAGCUCUUGGAUUGAAAAAUAUGCGGUUAGGAUGAUGUGGCCCCCAGGGUGAGUGGGUGGUAAUUGAAUAGUAUAAUUUAACGGAUAAAAAUAAUCAAAGGGUUAAAUCUAACGGGUGAAAAACUUGAUAGCACCAAAUCCUUGGUGCUAUCGAUAGUAUUCCAGCCGGACUCUAUAUAUAUAUAUAUAUAUAUAGAGAGAGAGAGAGAGAGAGAGAGAGAGAGAGAGAGAGAGAGAGAGAGAGAGAGAGGCUACUAUGUUUCUAGCACGGAGCCUUCCGUGCUUCCAGCUUGUUUUCCAUAUUGCGACUUUCGAAUUGUCGAUUAGCUCCGUUAAAUUUGAUCUAGAGUAUUUGAAGUAUCUAGAAAAUAAAUUAUGCGAUUUUUCGAUAUUAUUUGCCUAGUGAACAAAGGGGUUCAAAAUCAACGGUUGAAAAUAAAAAUCUUACAAAACGUGAUAAUAUGACAUUAAAAAUCAGCGGCUGAAAAGAAAAAUCUUACAAAACGUGAUAAUAUGACAUUAAAAUUUUAGAUCAAAGAUAUUAAUCUUGUUUUAUAUAGUAUAAAAAAUUUUCUAUCAAAAUUUCACAUGAUUUGGAUAUUUCUAUACCGUUAAACUUGCAAAUGGCUCACUACGGCCUUUAAAAUUAUUGAUUUUGAGCCCCUUCAAUCACUAGGAAAAUGAUAUCGAAAAAUCAUAAAAUUUAUUUUCUAGGUACUUCAAAUAUUCUAGAUCAAGUUUAACGGAGCCGAUCGACGAUUUAAAAGUCGCAACAUCGAAAAUGAUGUGGAAGCAUGGAAGGCUCCGUGCUUCUAAAAGCAUAGUAGCCUCACUCUAUAUAUAUAUAUAUAUAGUUGAGCCUGAAUACUAUCGAUUGCAAACUGGCUCCGUUACCACCCAUUUGUUUUGAACGAUAGAGCCUCCAAAUCGACGAUCGGCACCGUUGAACAUGAUCUGUACCACUUGAAAUGUUUAGAAAUCAAAUUUCAUAUAUUUUUAUCGACUAUAUAGGGUCGAAUACAAGUGAGCCGAUCCCAGAUCGCGUUCGGCUCGUUAAGAUUUUGAGCUAAAAAAUUUAACUUAUAUUUACUUAUUUAUUAAACGAGAGAUCUAUUUUGAACUCAUUUUGAGCCGAACACCGAUGGGAAUAGAAUAUUAUCCUACAUAUCUGGAUAAGUCCAAACUUAUUAAUAACAGCAUUUUGUUUCAGGGUCAAACAAACAGGUAAGGCAUUGAAUUCAUAUCUCCAAAAGCAUUUAAUGCAGCGAGUUGGACUGGGCUACUAUUAGUAGCAAAAUCCCAUUGUUGCUAUCAGUUUUUUAGCCUUUGGAUCAACUCUUUUCAUUAUUUCUAACCAUUGGAUUAAAUACUAUAACCCAGUGGGCACCACUCAACCCUAGGGGGACCACUCAACUCUAACCGACUAAUAUCAUCCUGACCCUACAAUUUUUCAUCCAAGGAUUAAAAACUUGGUAGCAAAAAGAACGUUUUACUAUUAAUAGUAUUCCAGUAUAAUUCUUAAUGCAGUUAUAUAUACGUGUAUAUUUUUUAUUCAUUAUUCAUAGAAUAAUUGAUAUAUAUAAUAUAUAGAUAUAUUUUAU